ACGGGGCUCAACGCUUGAGGUCGAUCACUGCUUGUUAUUAAUGCAAAUGCUCUGUGCUCGUUCCACCAGCUCCCACCCCAAAAAGAUUGCAGGAACAAGGUGAGACUAAUUUUCAGAGAAUUCCUUUAAUUGUCAGGAUCAGUUGAUGUUUAAUGGUGCCGAAGUCAGUCCGUUUAAGCGCAGCCUACAAGGUAUGUUCUGUGAACAAGCUCACCUCCCAGAGAUACAACUUACUCAGUAUAAGAACAUUUAAGUUACAUGUAUCAGCUCAGGAUAUUCAGAGAGAGACUUAGUCCUUAGGACAAGAGAAAGCACACUGAAUUGAAAGCUAGUCUACAGAAUUUUAAAGUGAAAGUAUUCCUACAGGCUUUGCAGGCUCCAUUUCACUUACAGCAGCUAUUUCAGAUACAGCAAGAGAUUCCAUUUGUAACAAACAAGCUGCAAGUAAUUUCUCAAACCAUGGAAGCCAGGUGGAAAAAGUGAAGGUAACUGAAUGCAAUAUAGAAAUUUAAGGAGAAUAAAUCACAUUUUCCACUUUACAGGAAGAAGAAAAUACAGUUCAGGUAUCCUGACCGGUACCUUCUUAGGCAGACAUUUACGUACUCAGUUUAAAACUCACAGUUAAAGGGAAAAGCUGUUCCAGUAAUGCCCUAGGAACUUCCUGAGAAUCAGGAAGACUUUUGAGGCAGUUGUUCACUUUGGGAGGAUUUCCCAAGCCACCUAACACCGGGCUGAUGGACUCCCACCAAGCGGGAGGAAUCAGGCUCUGAACAAAGCCCAACACGAGUGCGUGCCCAGAGCACACAGAGUCAGCUGGGGGGUCAGUGAGGCCCUUCCACACUUUGAGCUGCCACAGCCAACUGCAGAUGUACCUGCAGGGUCGCUGCAGCACGUAGGAAGUAGCUCAGAAUACCAGACAAGCAAGCAGAAGCAGCAAGAGGUAGAAGCGAUUUUGUGCUGCCUGCCCAUCAGCAAGACGAAAAACAUUUCAGCGUGAAGUCAAUCCACCUGGAGUCAGCCACGUGCCCAGUGCCCACCUCGCUCUAGCAGCUCAACCUUUAAAAGCCUUGGUGAUGCUAUUUCCAGUGUGCACGUCCACAGGAGGAGAGCUUUUACACAACUGCUUCAGAUAUACCUAAAGCUGGCUUAAGAACCACUAAGUCAAGCUAGCAUCGAUAACAGUAGUGUUACACUUCUGCUAUUCAUUAGUCCGCAUGGUUCCAUUUCGUAAUUAAAAUACUUGCAGUUUAAGACUUUACAAUAAAGAAUGUGCAGCCCUCAGCAGUGUUUCCACUGCUAGUCUAUGGAAAACAUAUGCAUGGAAAGUAUGUACAGUGCAUGUACACAGCCGUCUUUGGAUAGCUUCAGUGAACAUUCAACGCUGUCGGUGAGUUUGAGAACUAAAAAAAACCAUCGACCGUUGACUGUACCUUGAGGUUUAUCACAAACCCUCUGUUAAAUGGAAAGCUUGAACCUUCGGAGGUUUUCACAUAUGGUUGCUAUUAACAGGUCAUGAUUUAGAUUAUAUUAAGAGCUAGAGGUUGAGUUUUUCCAGCUCUACUUCCCUACGUUCUCCAGAAAUUAACUGGUAAAAAAAAAAAAAAAAAGUUGUUUUCUAUUUAACAGCAACAACAAACAAAAAGACUAUGAGCAAGACCAGAAUUUCUGCAAAAAAAA
This is a long non-coding RNA of Oxyura jamaicensis (ruddy duck), 1677 nucleotides long. RefSeq lists it as uncharacterized. The transcript has 2 exons. The record is from RefSeq and is a predicted model, not a curated record. Lineage: Eukaryota; Metazoa; Chordata; Aves; Anseriformes; Anatidae.